CAGCACACAUUAUACCACAUUUGAUACUUCCAAAAUAAGUUUAAGUCAUAGCCACAUACACACUAACUUUAACAUUAUAAUCAAGCCAUUUUCGUAUGGCUAUAUAUAUAUAAAUAUACAAACUUCAAAACCAAAUAUAUCAAAACAAGCCUAUACAUGCCAUAUAACCAAAUCUCAAAGCAUUAUUUACCAAAAUGGUAACCGGAUAGUGUGAUGACGUCUCCAACAACUUCUAACUCGAGCAAUUCACUGAAACUCUAAAGACAUAGGAAAAACAGACAGAGUAAGCUUCAAGAGCUUAGUAAGUCAUAAGCAAAUAAAUAACUCAAUAUUAAUAUCAACUUAGUUUAAUCAAACUAAUUUAUACUAUCAUGAUCACAUUUAUUUUCAAGCUCACAAUUUCAUAUAUAACAUAUACUUCCAUGUACAAAUUUUACCUUGAUCGAAUAUACAUGUAUCUAUUAUCAAAAUAGCAUACCCUUUCAAAGCCAUAUUAUCAAUGUAUAUAUAACCAAAUAUUUAAACUCUUAUAUACAUAUCUUCAUAAAGCAAACCAUAAUAACACAUAUAUAUACAUAAUAUGUGGUCGAAUAUAUAUUUUACAAUUGCCAAAUAUGAAAACAUAUACAUUUCAUUUACAAAAUCACCUAUACUUUUCAUUUGGCCAAUUAUAGAUUUUCCUAUACAUAUAUACUCUCAUUUAUGUCAUGAAUACAUAAGUAAACCGAAUGUAUACUUUCACAUAUGCAUACAUAUAAUUCACAUUAACAUGUAACAUUUAUAUAAUUAAUUCAAACAUUCCACUUGCCAUAAUUUCAUAAUUUAGUAUGAUUACAUACUUGAGCCUUUUAAAUCGAUUUUUCAUGCGUCAGAAAAUAGAAUUACAUAACAUUUUUAUCACAUAUCUUUCAGCCAAUUUACCUUCAUUUCAAAUAAGUAAACCACAUUCACAUACCUGAUCACUUUAGCUCAUUUAACACAUUUGAUUACUUUUACCGUUGUUCACAUAAAAUUUGCUAGGCAUAAAGCCUAGUAUAAUACACCGGCACAGAGCCUGCUAGGCAAUAACCCUGAUAUAAUACACCGGCAUAUAAAGCUUGCUAGGUAAUAGCCUGAUAUAAAGUCUGCUAGGCGAUAAGCCUGAUUUAAUACACCGGCACAAAGCUUGCUAGGCAAUACACCCCGAAUAUCACUGAUACAAAGUCGGUCUUACACAUAAUUUAUAUUUCGGAAAUCCUAAUUAUUUCUUAAUGUUCGUAUUAAGCUUUUCAAACAUCAUAUCUCAAUUGAAUCGAACUUGUUCCCAAAUCUCAUAAACAUUUAUACAUUCGGCUAUAACUAAUAAAAAUUCACACAAUUAAAUUCAGCAUAUAAAGAUCAUAUACAUUCAAGUUUUAAAACGUUUAUUGCUUAUAGACUUACCUCGGACAGCAGUAAUUGAAACGAGACGACUAAUUGACCACUUUGAUUUUCC
Molecule: long non-coding RNA, 1474 nt
Filed under: Gossypium barbadense (sea-island cotton)
Lineage: Eukaryota; Viridiplantae; Streptophyta; Magnoliopsida; Malvales; Malvaceae
Description: long non-coding RNA (GBAR_LNC009062)
Source: RNAcentral